UACAGAGGUCUCAAGCGUUGUUCGGAUUCAUUGGGCGUAAAGGGUGCGUAGGCGGCGCGGGGAGUCGGAUGUGAAAUCUCGGAGCUUAACUCCGAAACUGCAUUCGAUACUGCCGUGCUUGAGGACUGGAGAGGAGACUGGAAUUUACGGUGUAGCGGUGAAAUGCGUAGAUAUCGUAAGGAAGACCAGUGGCGAAGGCGGGUCUCUGGACAGUUCCUGACGCUGAGGCACGAAGGCCAGGGGAGCAAACGGG
This 253-nucleotide ribosomal RNA is filed under the name uncultured bacterium. RNAcentral's name for it is "partial 16S ribosomal RNA". It matches the Rfam family "Bacterial small subunit ribosomal RNA", at positions 524 to 776 of the family's 1533-position model. The record is from RNAcentral.